GUGCUCACUUUAGCAGCACAUGUACUAAAAUUAAAACGAUACAGAGAAGAUUAACAUAGCUCCUGUACAAGGAUAACAUGCAAAUUCAUGAAGCGUUUCCACAGUUA
Molecule: small nuclear RNA, 107 nt
Organism: Prolemur simus (greater bamboo lemur)
Lineage: Eukaryota; Metazoa; Chordata; Mammalia; Primates; Lemuridae
Source: Ensembl